This 68-nucleotide transfer RNA is filed under the name human gut metagenome. It matches the Rfam family "tRNA". From Rfam's summary of the family: Transfer RNA (tRNA) molecules are approximately 80 nucleotides in length. Their secondary structure includes four short double-helical elements and three loops (D, anti-codon, and T loops). Further hydrogen bonds mediate the characteristic L-shaped molecular structure. tRNAs have two regions of fundamental functional importance: the anti-codon, which is responsible for specific mRNA codon recognition, and the 3' end, to which the tRNAs corresponding amino acid is attached (by aminoacyl-tRNA synthetases). tRNAs cope with the degeneracy of the genetic code in two manners: having more than one tRNA (with a specific anti-codon) for a particular amino acid; and 'wobble' base-pairing, i.e. permitting non-standard base-pairing at the 3rd anti-codon position. The record is from RNAcentral.
CUUGUAGCUCAGCUGGAUAGAGUGUUUGGCUACGAACCAAAAGGUCGGGGGUUCGAAUCCCUUCAAGC